GACGAACGCUGGCGGCGUGCUUAACACAUGCGAGACGAACGGAAAGGCCCUGCUUUUGUGGGGUGCUCGAGUGGCGAACGGGUGAGUAACACGUGAGUAACCUGCCCUUGACUUUGGGAUAACUUCAGGAAACUGGGGCUAAUACCGGAUAGGAGCUCCUGCUGCAUGGUGGGGGUUGGAAAGUUUCGGCGGUUGGGGAUGGACUCGCGGCUUAUCAGCUUGUUGGUGGGGUAGUGGCUUACCAAGGCUUUGACGGGUAGCCGGCCUGAGAGGGUGACCGGCCACAUUGGGACUGAGAUACGGCCCAGACUCCUACGGGAGGCAGCAGUGGGGAAUAUUGCACAAUGGGCGGAAGCCUGAUGCAGCAACGCCGCGUGCGGGAUGACGGCCUUCGGGUUGUAAACCGCUUUCGCCUGUGACGAAGCGUGAGUGACGGUAAUGGGUAAAGAAGCACCGGCUAACUACGUG
RNAcentral lists this ribosomal RNA (468 nucleotides) under uncultured bacterium. RNAcentral's name for it is "partial 16S ribosomal RNA". It matches the Rfam family "Bacterial small subunit ribosomal RNA", at positions 28 to 507 of the family's 1533-position model. The record is from RNAcentral.